GUUUGUGUAAAUGCCUAAUGGCAAAAACUGCUAUGGUGACGCCCUCACCCUCUACAUCGACCUCCCGAGCUCCAACCCCCUCAAAUUUGACCACCUCCAGUACCCAGCAUCGACAAUGACGUCAUCCUGCUCUAGCUCGCCUCCCCUUCAUGCUCUGGCACGGUCUGGUUUCUCCAGAUCGGUGGUAUGGUGGUGGUGGUGACCGUGUUGUGAUGGUGUUGCAACCUAGGUCAGGUUCGUCGUGGCCUCCCAUACCUCCACUCGGUGGUAGGCUGCGGCUAGCCCGGCCCCUACUUCGACUACGACGUCUCCCUGGACCAUGGCCUCGGUCGCCCAUCAAGGUGUUUAUAGAUGGAGAAGGAUCAUCUAAACAAUGAUGUACUAAAUUGGAGUCGGAGGUUCAGCUACAUUGAUACCCUUGCUGGAUAUGCGCCCACUAAUGAAGUUGUUGAUGCUCAAUCCAUGGAAAAGGAGCAAAGAGCAAAGCCAAAACAUGGAUUGGAUGGCAGACAUCCUCUCUUAGGAGAAGACCAAGAAAUACACACCUAGGGGAAAGAAGAGGAAAAAGGGGCGUAGGGAUAAUCUGGCAUAUUGAAGUGAGCAAGGCAGGUGAUGGCUACCGGUGCCGGGCGAGCUAGCGGGUGAGAGACCAGAGAGUAAAGGGAAGAAGGCGGCGUAUCAAAAGAUAGCGUGUGGCGAUGGCUGGCCCUCUUUGGCAUGGCUCUGAGCAUGAAAAGAAUGAAGGUGGGCUAGGAAACGAUGAGGAAUCGACAAGGUGAAUCUGACUCCUUCCAGUUUCUCUCAUUCUUUGCCUCCUUGCUGUUUUCUUUUCCCUCAUGUUGAUUUGUUGUCUGAUGCCUCUGGUUUUUGUGAAGAAUUGGACUAUGUCCUGUUCGCUGCUGCGGCAGUUUUCAUUGAAUUUGUGGUUGUGUAUGCCUUCCAUGAGUGUAUGUGUUGUUGAUGUCUGCUGCUCGUCCGCAAGGUCAGCCCCCUUGGCCUCCUCUGACCCAUGUCGGCAUCGUGGACUUCAAAAAAGAAAGUAAUCUUUUUUGUUUUGCAUGCCAUACAUCUAUACAGAUUCAAGAUAUUUUCAAAAUGGGGCUUUUGUUCAAUACUUCAUUUUCUGAAUGAUAUUGUAUUUUUCUACAGUUCCCUAGCUUUUCUUCAUAGCAGCAUCAUUGAAGGUGCUAUGAUGCAUUCGUAC
Molecule: non-coding RNA, 1204 nt
Organism: Lolium perenne
Lineage: Eukaryota; Viridiplantae; Streptophyta; Magnoliopsida; Poales; Poaceae
Source: RefSeq, a predicted model, not a curated record